AGAAUGAACGCUGGCGGCAUGGCUAAGACAUGCAAGUCGAACGGACCAUAUAAUUGGGUAACCGAAAGUAUGGUUAGUGGCGAAAGGGUGAGGAAUAGAUAGGAACGUACCCUGUGCUCUGGGAUAGCGUCUGAAGCUUCGGCUUCUUCCGAAAGGGGCGGUAAUACCAGAUAAUGUCCUUCGGGACCAAAGAUUUAUCGGCAUUGGAGCGGCCUAUCUCCUAUCAGCUUGUUGGUGAGGUAACGGCUCACCAAGGCAACGACGGGUAGCGGGACUGAGAGGUUGGCCCGCCACAUCGGGACUGAGACACUGCCCGGACCUCCACGGAGGGCUGCAGUAACGGAUAUUGGGCAAUGGGCGAAAGCCUGACCCAGCAAUGCCGCGUGCAGGAUGAAGCCCCUAGGGGUGUAAAACUGCUGUCAGGGGUCAGAAAGCUGGUUUCGGCCAGUUGAUCAACCCCAGAGGAAGUCACGGCUAACUUCGUGCCAGCAGCCGCGGUAAUACGAAAGGUGGCAAGCGUUAUUCGGAAUCAUUGGGCUUAAAGGGCACGCAGGCGGAACAGUGUGUGUUGUGUGAAAUCCCCCGGCUUAACCGGGGAAUUGCACAGCAAACUGCUGUUCUUGAGGCAGGUAGGGGUGCAUGGAACUCUUGGUGGAGCGGUGGAAUGCGUAGAUAUCAAGAGGAACGCCAGAGGUGAAGACGGUGCACUGGGCCUGUCCUGACGCUGAGGUGCGAAAGCGUGGGGAGCGAACGGGAUUAGAUACCCCGGUAGUCCACGCCGUAAACGAUGUCUACUAGGUCGUGGGUGUUCUGACACAUUCACGGCCGGAGCAAAAGUGUUUAGUAGACCGCCUGGGGAGUACGNCCGCAAGGUUAAAACUCAAAUGAAUUGACGGGGGCUCACACAAGCGGUGGAGCAUGUGGAUUAAUUCGAAGCAACGCGCAGAACCUUACCUGGGUUUGACAUGCUUGUAUGCCUUCUCUGAAAGGAGUUAGGCUGCCUUCGGGUGAAACUUGCACAGGUGCUGCAUGGCUGUCGUCAGCUCGUGUCGUGAGAUGUCGGGUUAAGUCCUUUAACGAGCGAAACCCUUGCCGUUAGUUGCCAGCGAGUAAUGUCGGGGACUCUAACGGGACUGCCGGUGUUAAACCGGAGGAAGGUGGGGAUGACGUCAAGUCCUCAUGGCCUUUAUGCCCAGGGCUUCACACGUGCUACAAUGGCAAUUACAGAGCGACGCGAUACCGCGAGGUGGAGCAAAUCGCAAAAAAAUUGCCUCAGUUCGGAUUGCAGGCUGGCAAUU
This 1298-nucleotide ribosomal RNA is filed under the name uncultured organism. Its description in RNAcentral is "bacterial SSU rRNA". It matches the Rfam family "Bacterial small subunit ribosomal RNA", at positions 26 to 1313 of the family's 1533-position model. The record is from RNAcentral.